UAAGGAAUAUUGGUCAAUGGACGCAAGUCUGAACCAGCCAUGCCGCGUGAAGGAUGAAGGUCCUCUGGAUUGUAAACUUCUUUUAUCUGGGACGAAAACGGGAUUUUUAUCUCAAUUGACGGUACCAGAGGAAUAAGCACCGGCUAACUCCGUGCCAGCAGCCGCGGUAAUACGGAGGGUGCGAGCGUUAUCCGGAUUUACUGGGUUUAAAGGGUGCGUAGGUGGGCUUAUAAGUCAGUGGUGAAAUCUCCGAGCUUAACUUGGAAACUGCCGUUGAUACUAUAGGUCUUGAAUUAUCUGGAGGGAAGCGGAAUAUGUCAUGUAGCGGUGAAAUGCUUAGAUAUGACAUAGAACACCAAUUGCGAAGGCAGCUUACUACAUAUAAAUUGACGCUGAGGCACGAAAGCGUGGGGAUCAAA
RNAcentral lists this ribosomal RNA (419 nucleotides) under uncultured bacterium. RNAcentral's name for it is "bacterial SSU rRNA". It matches the Rfam family "Bacterial small subunit ribosomal RNA", at positions 355 to 772 of the family's 1533-position model. The record is from RNAcentral.